GACGGCGCUUGGAGGGUGUGGCGUGGGGCGGGGCCGAGAGAGGCUUUCCCGAGAGGUUGGCACACAGGAAUGUUGUCCUCCGUGAAGAGCGGGUGGAGGGAUGUUUCCCAGAGAAGAGGGGUGUUGCUCUGGGGCUGAUGGAGGAGGAGAGAAAAAGCCAUCGCCCCAAAGCUGGAAAAGGAGGUUCCAUUGAGGAAGGGUUAGAAGAAGGUGGAGCAGUCGGGACUCAGAGAUGCUGCCCCUGAAAGUGAGAGUGGCUGAGUUGGGCGGAUCCCAGUGCCCUUUCUCCACACACACACACACACACACAGUGGGGAAGUUACUAAAAACCUCACCCAUUUCAUGGGGCUGCAUUUCAUCUUAGUUUAAAUAAAGCUCUAAGGCAGGACUGCACUUACAAACCUAAGUGUACUUUUCAUGCACAUAAAAAUUUAGUUCCUCCUGUCACAACCUCCUGUGUUCCCUCUGUAUCUUCUUGCCUUAGCCUCAAUUUUUAUGUUCUUACCACCAUGACAUGAAACCUACAGCACUUACUUGCUAAAUGUUGUGCAAUAAGUCUAUAUUUUGGAGUGUCUCAGUGCAAUCACAGCUUCUGAUUGCGACAGAAUAAGGUGUGGAAAAGACAUUGACAUGACUGAACUGAAGGGGAAAGGCCAGGAGAGGACAGAGAUUGAUCAGCACAGAGCAAGGAAGAUUGCAGAGUCAAGAAGAGAACCCAGGUUUCCUAAGUCCCAGUCUAGUGGUUUAUUCACUUGGCUAUGCUUCCUCUCUAAAGCAAUCUAGCAGAAGAUGAUUAAAGAACUAGAAAAUGAAGCCAUGGUGGCAGAUAAGAUCAUUCCAUGGCAGGGUAUAUAGAAAGAAGAGAGAACCAAGGACAGAGCUUUGAAGGAUGCCAUUGGAAAAAGAAAGAUCCUGCUUAGAAACGAAAGAGUGUUUGAGGAAGGAAUCAAAGGAAGAGAAAAAUCAUUGGUGUUUGUAGGCAUUUGAGUCAAUCGAGAUGAAGAAAUAAAGGAAAGAUGUAAAGGAAGAUGGCAGAAUGGAAUGGAGAAUACACGUGUAGUGGAGAAAUUCCAUUAAUUAUCAUAUUUAAGUUCAAUGUAUAUAAUUAUAAUUUUACAGUAGUAGCUAAUUAAAACAUCCACCGCUAUGGUAUUCUCCAGAUAGCACCCUUUUUACUUAAAAAACAAACACACACACAAAAUGAAUAAAAAUAAAUGUUUUCAGUAAAAGCAAAAUUAGGGAGACCACACAAACAAAACCACCAUGUGGGUAUUUUAUGAGGUGUUCUGUACCUCUCAGAAAGUGUCCCUCUUUAGGUCCAGGGUAGAAACAGGUGGAUGGGUAUUUUACAAGGGAUGACCAAUUCCCAUCAGAAUGUGCAGUUGUAGAUUGCUUUUGCCAGGAAUAAAAAUGACUGACUGGCUGGCACAUGCUCAAUUUAGGCAAACCACCCCUUGCCACACAUGGCAUAAAAGGCAGUAAGAUUUGUCAGCCAUAUUAGGUAUGGGCAAAUGUGGCCAUUUUAGUGGCCAUCUUAGUUAAGGUCAGGAAGCCCAUAGAAUUUUAUGGAUGACAGCCAUCAUAGUUAAGGGCAAUAAGGCCACACUGUAUGACCAUAUUGGAUGAGGGAAAUGGAAGGGAGGGCACAAUCACAUUUCUCUUCCUAGGCAAUUGGUGUUUAUUUGAGGCCAAUGGAAUGAAGUAGCAGUUGAGUCAUGUCCACACCUGCCUAACUUCCUGGCCUAAGUGUCUCAGGAUAUCAGAGUUUCUCAGGUCCUAAGGAUUGCCUCAAAAUCUCAGCAUCUUUUGCUGCAGUGGCCCCCAUGAAUUCCAAUUUAACUGUAAUCAUUCAGGGAAAAGAUCUUGGUGUUAUGAGCAACUCAGUGGAAAGAUCUGAUUAUUGAACAGUGGUGAUCAAAAAGGCAAACAAAUUAUUUGGAUGUGUAAUUAAGAGGUAUUCACACUGGAAGUUGUGAGCAUUUGUCUGGGAGUCAUAACCAUCCUGCCUUUCUCGAACUGCAAAAUGGGAGGGGGCUACGACUUGAUCCUAGCUAAAUGGGUGGGGUGCUGCUGACAUGCAGGUCCUGAUAUGGAAAAUUGACUUGCAGUAUAGAAAAGAUUCAGAACUCCUGGUGUAAGAAUGAUGUAGAAAAUAAUAUUAUAGUGCCAUUAUAUAAACCAAUAGUACACACUCACCUGGAACAAUGGUCAGCCAAUGUCAAGUAAGACACAGCAGAAACAGGGGGCUCCAGAUACCAACAAUUAAAUUGAAUAGCAACAUGGAGAGACUUCCUUAUGGAAAGAGAUGAAAAGAAUAGGAUUUAAAUUUAGAGAGGAGCUGGAUAAGGCCCCAAUCUCUCAAAUACUUACACGUGUUUAUUUUACAUCAGUGGGGCCUGCUUACUGUAUCUGAGAGUCUGCAUCUCUUCUAGUGUGCUGCUUUGGAAGCAAUGGUAACCAGUGGGUUCUAAAGAGACAGAUAGUAGGACAAUGUUUUCCAUUAGGGGCCCCUAAUUCUGGAACUCACUCCUCACCCUGGUUUAUCAGGUGCUGUUUUUUGUUUGUUAGUUUUGGUCUUGGUGGUUUUUUAAAUUUUGUUUUACUCUUCCACACAUACUGCAAGUUGCAUCUAGAUUUGCAAGUAUUUGAGGAGAGAUCGGUUUGAAAAAUGUGAUGAUUGUAUGCGGGAGGUUGUUUUGGUAAGGUAAUUUGGAAGUUUGUAGCAGAGCUGUGAAUUGACAGAUAUCUGCAUCCUAGUCCAAUACUUUUACAAGACCAACUUUCCUCAAACCCAAGCUAUACACUGCCAAACUGUCACAAAAGAAAGCAUUAUUGCAGGGUAACAGGCAAAUACAUUUCCUGUGAACCAUAUUACAGAUAAUCUGCAUGUUCAAACAAGAAUGUUUUGUUCACAAAAAUCUUCUGAUAUCCACUAGAGGGUUGGAGGGAGAUGUGGGCAAUCGAAAAUAUUUAAUAUGUGUGGAAAGUAUACUAUCUUUAUUGUAAAAAGUCUCCUUUUUGCUGCUAUGAUGCAGUGAUUGGAAACUUAAUCUUUUCUUAGGUAGCAGAAGUGCUUUCACAAAAUUAAUUAAUGAAGCGGAAACAGCAUUAUGACAUUUUGGUCACCCCCUCUGUCAUUGUUGAAAUGUUCCUGUUGCAGUAAUUAGUAGAGUAGCUAGUAUUAUCUGAAUGCAUGGUAAUUCAAGCCUUCAGAGUGUCUAUGGGUGCAAAUGAAGUAGUAGCAAAGCAUAUCAGUUCUGAAUUAUGCAAUGAUCCAGUCUGAAUCCCUGAAGAGCUUUUUGUCUGAGAGCUGUACAACACAGAUGCAUGGCCUACAAAUAUGUUCUGUAGUAGGCUGUCACUUUCUUUGCUGAUGCAUUGGAAAUAUAUGAUGAAAGAACAUGUCGCCAGAAUGCUGAUCUUUGGUUGGUUGCAGUGACAGAGAAAUAUUUACUAAUGGGUUAUUUGCUAUUUUAAUGGUUGGUGUUGACUGAUAAAGGGCCAGAUUUUACUUGGCGUUUGUGCAGAUAAGUAUGUGUUGGGGAAGUCAAGAAGCCUGUCACAAAUGCAGUACAUCGAAGGACUGGUCUACACUUAAAAGUUUCACCAGUACAGUUAUUGGUUAGGAGUGUAAUUUUUACCAACAUAAUUAUGCAAGUAAAAGCCCUAGUGUCUGUGGAUGCAAUUAUACCUGUAUAAAAAUGCCUUAUACUGGUAUGGCUUAUUACAUUUCCUGAAACUCAACAAGUUAUACUGGUAUAACUGCAUUCCCACUUUAAGUAUAUUGGCAUAGUUAAAUCAGCAAAACUUAGGUCCUUAGGGCAUGUCUACAUACCUUUGUUGUAUCAAUUUAACUAUAUCGGUUUAUAAAUUAUAACUAUAUCUAUUUACUGAAACAAUCUAUACUAAUAUAAACACCUUUAUAUUGAUAUAACUGCAUCCACACUACAGAUUGCAUUAUAUUUAAUUAUAUUAUUACUAAUUAUAUUGGUUUCCAAACAGUAAUAUAAAGCCAGCAUGACUGGUCUGAAAAUCCUGUUAGCAAUGAGGAAGAAGUGUUCGGCAUUACUCUGCUGAGGAGAGUGGACUUUCACACCUUCAUGCCUCACUGAAGUUGAGGCUUAAGGGCACAUGGCGUGCCAGCAUGGGACAAGAGAGUAGCUGCUACUGAGAAAUAACCAGUGUAGGUUUGAAUCCUAAAGUUGUAUAGAUCUGAGGAAGUCCAAUCCCAUCUGCUGUACAGGACAACUAAGCAAAAUGAUAAAAGCAGGGCAUCUAUUAUGUGUGAAAUGUUUGUAAUGAUAUGUACAAGUGUAGUUAGAGGAAACUAUUGUUGUAUAUAGAAAAAAUAAUAUUACUUCUUAAAAAA
Chrysemys picta bellii (western painted turtle) is the source of this 4369-nucleotide non-coding RNA. The record is from RefSeq and is a predicted model, not a curated record. NCBI's taxonomy places the organism in Eukaryota, Metazoa, Chordata, Testudines, Emydidae.